This 74-nucleotide transfer RNA is filed under the name Planctomycetota bacterium. RNAcentral describes it as "Planctomycetes bacterium (marine metagenome) tRNA-Val". It matches the Rfam family "tRNA". From Rfam's summary of the family: Transfer RNA (tRNA) molecules are approximately 80 nucleotides in length. Their secondary structure includes four short double-helical elements and three loops (D, anti-codon, and T loops). The record is from RNAcentral. RNAcentral also lists the same sequence under 2 other names. Lineage: Bacteria; Pseudomonadati; Planctomycetota.
GGGCGAUUAGCUCAGUUGGCUAGAGCGCCACGUUUACACCGUGGAUGUCACAGGUUCGAGUCCUGUAUCGCCCA